Non-coding RNA from Vicugna pacos (alpaca), 812 nucleotides. The record is from RefSeq and is a predicted model, not a curated record. Lineage: Eukaryota; Metazoa; Chordata; Mammalia; Artiodactyla; Camelidae.
AAUGUAGCUGCCGAAUCUAGUUCCGGGAAUACAAGGUUCCGGGGCGGGGCCAUCCAGCUGGAAACUGGCGGGCUGGAGCCUCAGAAUGUGGAUUGGAAAGAGGGCUGGGUGGUGGUAAGUGCUGUCUGCUAAAGUUAAAAAAAGAAAAAGAAAAAAAAAGUCAGUGAAUAAACGUUCUCCAUCGACUCUGCCAGCUCGCCCUUGUCCUGCGUGUUCGACGAAGCUCCUUUACGUGCCUACCAAACACGCUAGAACGUAGAACGCGAGGAAAAAUGCACUGGGGAUUGAUAAUAAGAAUAUGAGAAUGUCAUCCCCUCUCCCUGGACCACCACCAGCAAAGAUUCACAACACAACACGCGAGAUUUUUCUUAAAAUUCUGAUCAGGUUCUUUCCAUGCUGCUGCCACUGUCUUGGUCAAAACCCCCAUUUUCCCUCCAGUGGACUUCUUGCAAUGGCCUUCCAGAUGGUCUCCCUGCAUGGAUUCAGCAGGUAAUGAUUUUGUCAAAAUACUAGUCAGGUCACAGUGAUCUCCUGUUCUUCAUGAUGUGACCUUCAAGGCCCUGCAAUGGCCAAUGGCCGAGUGGUUCUCAAUCCCAGAAGUUUGUCCCCCAAGGGGCCUUUUGGCAGUAUCUGGAGACCUUUUCAGUCCUCACAUUGGAGUGUAUUGUUGGCAUCUAGCCAUUGUGCUGCCAAACAGCCACAAAGCACAGGACCAAAUUUCACAUCAAAGAAUCUUCUGGCCCCAAAUGUCAAUAGUGCCAAAGGUGAAAACCCAACCCUAGUCCCUGUCCACCCCUUACCCUCCUCUUGGA